RNAcentral lists this long non-coding RNA (1012 nucleotides) under Cottoperca gobio. Its description in RNAcentral is "lncRNA (ENSCGOG00000004742.1)". Lineage: Eukaryota; Metazoa; Chordata; Actinopteri; Perciformes; Bovichtidae. The record is from RNAcentral.
UAUGUGUCUGUGUUGUGGGUGUGUCGACCCCUCAAUUUCCUUUGAUUGCACUUCAGUCAACUCACUUGCUCCAAGCCUCACUCCUGCCAUCCAUUAACUCAUCAACCCCGUCUUCAGCCACUCGACACUAGAUCGUCUGUUCAGCUACAGUGGAUCCCUGGCUUCCUGUCCACCCGCCUGCCUGCUAUCUGCUACCCACUCCAUCCUCUGCCGCCACGAGCCGGAUGUCCUCCGUCUCGUUUGUGUAAUAUAACGUGUGUGUGUGUGUCUGACUCUCUUUACUGUAUUUUAUUUCUAUAUAUUUGGAACAUUUAUGUUGGAUUUUGUGUCGAUCACUGGCAGAAAUGUCAUGUUGCUAAUCAAACUUUUACUUUACUUUUACAAUUAUUAUUAUUUUGACUAUACAUGCUAUAAAGUAAAGGUAAUUCACUUUUACAUAGCAUGUUGCCAGAAAUGCACACAUUCCACACUCAACCAAGACAUGUAGAGUGGUUUACAGUUUGUCUAUUGUAUGCAGGUAGAUGUGAAAUCUUUUUGUAAUGCUUUGUACUUUGAAAGUCAUGACUGACUAAAUGUUCCUCUUGGAUAGAAAAUAAUACUCUUGUUGUGGAAAUAGUCGGCUUUGCUGUGUUUUCAUUUUUUUUGCAUUUUGAAAUGAAGAGUUGCAAUUUCAUGAACAAAAUGUGGUUUUGAGAAGAAAGUUACCUAUUUUUACAUAUAAUUGUGUGAUGCUAGAUUGUUGCUAUGUUUACAUAUAAUUGUGUGAUGCUAGAUUGUUGCUAUGUUAAGUUUAGAAAACGUAUCUUAGAGUUAAAUGCUGGUUAGCAAUUGUAAAUGUAUUCCACCUGAAACAUGUUUAAUACUAUAAUACAGCAUGUCACACACCUGCACCACAUUAUCUCCACCACUAGAUAGAGCUGUGCACUGCUCAAUGCUUCAAUGGAAUGUUACAAAAUACAGAAGAACAGUUCACAACCGGCUUCAGUUUGACUUCAUGAGUCAUCAUCUUCAU